Molecule: ribosomal RNA, 420 nt
Filed under: Triticum aestivum (bread wheat)
Lineage: Eukaryota; Viridiplantae; Streptophyta; Magnoliopsida; Poales; Poaceae
Description: partial small subunit ribosomal RNA
Source: RNAcentral
AUGGUGGCGUUUCUCGGCGGCGUGGCGCAGUGGAGACUCGGCGCCCGAUGUGUGGCGAGGGACUCGCGCAGUGGCCGUAUGCAUCGUCCAGAUGCAGAGGUAGAGGUUGAAUUUGCAGACGGCAGUACAUUCCAUCUCUCAGCCGAGUUUCUUAGAGUCUACAGUCCGGCAGCUGACAAUAAGAUCAGAUCAAUAGCUGUCAAGAAGGCUAUUUUUGGGUGCCGACAUGUUGGAAUAAUGUCAGCUGAAUCAAUAGGAAACUAUGGAGUCUGGAUACUGUUUGAUGAUUUGCACAAGACUGGGAUCUUCACUUGGGACUACUUGCACCAUCUGGGUUCUAACAAAUUCAGUCUAUCACGAAAUUAUAUCAGAACUUUGAGGAAACAUGGUCUUAGUCGGGAUCCUCAGAGAAGGAAAUGA